GAAACCGUGUACGUACAAGCAGUGGGAGCACCCUUUUGGGUGUGACUGCGUACCUUUUGUAUAAUGGGUCAGCGACUUAUAUUCUGUAGCAAGGUUAACCGCAUAGGGGAGCCGGAGGGAAACCGAGUCUUAACCGGGCGUUAAGUUGCAGGGUAUAGACCCGAAACCCGGUGAUCUAGCCAUGGGCAGGUUGAAGGUUGGGUAACACUAACUGGAGGACCGAACCGACUAAUGUUGAAAAAUUAGCGGAUGACCUGUGGCUGGGGGUGAAAGGCCAAUCAAACCGGGAGAUAGCUGGUUCUCCCCGAAAGCUAUUUAGGUAGCGCCUCGUGAAUUCAUCUCCGGGGGUAGAGCACUGUUUCGGCUAGGGGGCCAUCCCGGCUUACCAACCCGAUGCAAACUGCGAAUACCGGAGAAUGUUAUCACGGGAGACACACGGCGGGUGCUAACGUCCGUCGUGAAGAGGGAAACAACCCAGACCGCCAGCUAAGGUCCCAAAGUCAUGGUUAAGUGGGAAACGAUGUGGGAAGGCCCAGACAGCCAGGAUGUUGGCUUAGAAGCAGCCAUCAUUUAAAGAAAGCGUAAUAGCUCACUGGUCGAGUCGGCCUGCGCGGAAGAUGUAACGGGGCUAAACCAU
Molecule: ribosomal RNA, 637 nt
Filed under: Salmonella enterica
Lineage: Bacteria; Pseudomonadati; Pseudomonadota; Gammaproteobacteria; Enterobacterales; Enterobacteriaceae
Description: partial 23S ribosomal RNA
Rfam family: Bacterial large subunit ribosomal RNA
Source: RNAcentral